UGGGGAAUUUUGGACAAUGGGCGAAAGCCUGAUCCAGCCAUGCCGCGUGAGUGAAGAAGGCCUUCGGGUUGUAAAGCUCUUUCAGCCGGAAAGAAAUCGCACAGGCUAAUACUUUGUGUGGAUGACGGUACCGGAAGAAGAAGCACCGGCUAACUACGUGCCAGCAGCCGCGGUAAUACGUAGGGUGCGAGCGUUAAUCGGAAUUACUGGGCGUAAAGCGUGCGCAGGCGGUUAUGUAAGACAGAUGUGAAAUCCCCGGGCUCAACCGGGGAACUGCGUUUGUGACUGCAUAACUAGAGUACGGCAGAGGGAGGUGGAAUUCCGCGUGUAGCAGUGAAAUGCGUAGAUAUGCGGAGGAACACCGAUGGCGAAGGCAGCCUCCUGGGCCAGUACUGACGCUCAUGCACGAAAGCGUGGGGAGCAAACA
RNAcentral lists this ribosomal RNA (427 nucleotides) under uncultured prokaryote. Its description in RNAcentral is "bacterial SSU rRNA". It matches the Rfam family "Bacterial small subunit ribosomal RNA", at positions 355 to 774 of the family's 1533-position model. The record is from RNAcentral.